RNAcentral lists this ribosomal RNA (497 nucleotides) under uncultured bacterium. RNAcentral's name for it is "partial 16S ribosomal RNA". It matches the Rfam family "Bacterial small subunit ribosomal RNA", at positions 28 to 507 of the family's 1533-position model. The record is from RNAcentral.
GAUGAACGCUGGCGGCGUGCCUAAUACAUGCAAGUCGAGCGAACGGACGAGAAGGUUGCUUCUCUGAUGUUAGCGGCGGACGGGUGAGUAACACGUGGAUAACCUACCUAUAAGACUGGGAUAACUACGGGAAACCAGUGCUAAAAACGGAUGAUAUUUUGAUCCGCUUGUUUCAAAAGCGAAUGCCGAUCUUGCUGUCUCUAUUUGAUGGACUCGCGCUGCAUUAGCUAGUUGGUAAGGUAACGGCUUACCAAGGGAACGAUGCAUAGCCGACCUGAGAGGAUGAUCGGCAACACGUGAACGGGGACACGCACCAAACACCUAAGGGAGGCAGCAGUAGGGAAUCUUCCGCAAGGGGCGGAAGCCUGACGGAGCAACGCCGCGUGAGUGAUGAGGAUCUUCGGAUCGUGAAACUCUGUUAUUAGGGAAGAACAUAUGUGUAAGUAACUGUGCACAUCUUGACGGUACCUAAUCAGAAAGCAACGGCUAACUACGUG